RNAcentral lists this ribosomal RNA (505 nucleotides) under uncultured bacterium. RNAcentral's name for it is "bacterial SSU rRNA". It matches the Rfam family "Bacterial small subunit ribosomal RNA", at positions 24 to 518 of the family's 1533-position model. The record is from RNAcentral.
UCAGGAUGAACGCUAGCGAUAGGCCUAACACAUGCAAGUCGAGGGCAGCAUAGAGUAGCAAUACUUGAUGGCGACCGGCGCACGGGUAGAGUAACACGUAUGCGAACCUACCUACAGUCAGGGGAAUAACCCGGAGAAAUUCGGACUAAUACCGCAUAAUACAGGGGAUGCCGCAUGGCAAUAUUGUUAAAGAUUUAUCGGAUGGUAGAUGGGCAUGCGUUCCAUUAGCUGGUUGGUAAGGUAACGGCUUACCAAGGCAACGAUGGAUAGGGGAACUGAGAGGUUUGUCCCCCACACUGGAACUGAGACACGGACCAGACUCCUACGGGAGGCAGCAGUGAGGAAUAUUGGUCAAUGGACGAGAGUCUGAACCAGCCAAAUCGCGUGAAGGAAAGACUGCCCUACGGGUUGUAAACUUCUUUGUACAGGAAUAAAAGACAGUUACGUGUAAUGUAUUGCAUGUACUGUACGAAUAAGCAUCGGCUAACUCCGUGCCAGCAGCGGC